Molecule: long non-coding RNA, 827 nt
Organism: Drosophila nasuta
Lineage: Eukaryota; Metazoa; Arthropoda; Insecta; Diptera; Drosophilidae
Exons: 3
Source: RefSeq, a predicted model, not a curated record
UGCCGUGGUGCAGUGUGCCCAAACCGCACGCCACCCCCCGCCGCUGACGUACCGACAACAAAAAAAAGCUGCCAAAUGAACCGGAUUUUUGUUUUCACCUAAAAUUUCGGCGAGCUCGCAUCGAGGGUGUCUGUAAGCUGCUUGUGUUGCUCGCUGUUGUUGUUGCUGUUUUCUGGAUUGGUCUUAGUUUACGAGUAUCGCUUGUCACUCUGGCUGGCCCCGAUCACCCCCCAAUCACCCGACCCCUCUGACACAGCUGUUUGCUUAGGUCGUUAGUGGGUUUGCACGUUGUGCAGGCAAUGCCAAAAUUCGUAGGAAAAACGUUGACGUCUCUACACGAAAAUUUGAAUAUGUAAACAGAGCGGGAGCUUGAUCGCUGUAAUGCCUCUCUUUAUGGUUUUUUGUGAGCGUUUCAGGUGGCAUUCACUAUUCUCGGAAGCUCAUCAAUAAUCAUCACAUCAUCUGAUUUUAGGUCUUGGUUAACAAAUGAGUAUUGUUAACAUUUGCGAUUCUUGGAACGUUGCCAAAUAUGUACACGAGCGAUUUCUUUCAGCGAUCCAUCAAUUCUCGGAGAGCUUGCUACUUAUUAUUUCAAAUAAGCUUUGUUUAGAUUUAAAAAUAUAUUAAAAAUGUGUAUAUAUUACAGUUUUUGAAUUUUUAGCGAUCACCGUAAAAAGCUAAGAGCUAGGAAGCUGUAAUUUUUACACAUUUACAUUUACGGAACCAGUUGGAUAGUAAUUCAUAUAUUUUAUCUCUACUUUAUGUAAUUGUAAUAAGCCCUGCAAAGUUUUAUUUCUUUUUAGAGAUUAAAGACUAUAAAAUUUGGU